Molecule: long non-coding RNA, 2264 nt
Filed under: Nicotiana benthamiana
Lineage: Eukaryota; Viridiplantae; Streptophyta; Magnoliopsida; Solanales; Solanaceae
Description: long non-coding RNA (NBEN_LNC035966)
Rfam family: MIR6151 microRNA precursor family (bases 384-454)
Source: RNAcentral
AGAAAUUAAAAGAAAACUGGUCCAAGACCAACAAGAAUAACCCCAAGCCCAGUCCACUUCUUCUCAUUAACCUUCCCAGACCCAGACCCAAGACCCCUGACUCGACCCAUUCGCAAAACACACAAGUAUACAUACACAAACGCGAAGUCCCUAAUCCCUAACCCUCAAGCGCGUACUGCGACUUUGCUUCUUCUUCUCAAAAAAAAAAACCCGAAUCCAGCCCUAAUACUGUCCAAAUUCGAGCGAUUGAACCUCAAAUCUCUCCUCAUGUGUUCCACUUUCUCUCCUCUUACCACAGAUGGCCAUUUCUAAUGGUAAGACUCUCCUUCCCUUCACUCGCUCGAUUUAGAGAUAAGGCACGCGAUUGGAGGCUUCUGAAAAGGAUUUGCUGGAUGAGUGUGAGGCGUUGGAUUGAUUUCACUUAAUCCAAGCCCCGUAUUCAUCAGGAAUUCGUUUUCAAAAGAAGCUCAAUCCAAUUUUGAACGGGAAUCGGCUAAAAAAUUUCAGAGAAAGGGUUAAAGGUUUUUUGUGAACAAAUUGCUGCUCCGAGAUGAUUUUCUUUGAAGAGGUCAUUAAAGUUUAAGAAAAACAUAGAUACAAUCUUUUCUUCUUAUUUUUUGAAUCCGUACUUAAGUUCGUGGAAGAUACAAAUUGAAGUUCGAGCUAUGUUUCUAUUGUUGUUUUGCUAAUCUCUAUUGAACCUUGAUAGAAUUCAGGAUCAAAAGGUGUAUUGUCGAGAAUAUAUUUAUUAAAAUGAUUUUGAAAUUUCAGGUUCGAUUUCUUUAUCUUUCGCAUCUCUGUUAUAUAAUAUUUUGAACAAUGAGAUUUUGUCCAGAAUGAUUUUUGGUUCUGUGCGUGAUUCUUCUCCUAUUGAACUGCUUCUCAGUAGUGUGAUGUAUUUGAAUAUUUUCAGUUAGUAGAAGCUUAUUUUGAGUGGUCGUUUGUCUAUAGUUUAACUGUUAUUGUGAUGUUGAGUUUCAUUUGAUCCAAGGUCUCGUCGCCUUCAAAUGAACGAUGUGUUCACCUUCCGUGAUUGCUAAGCGAGCUUGAAACUAUGACGUUCAUUCGCAAGAUGUUUUCUUCCUGGACUUUGAGUGAUUUAUUCCUGAUAAAUAUUUCUUUGCUGGAAGCUUUGAAUUAGAACCACCAUCUUUACUUGAACAGUUGAUUUUUUUUUUCUUUCUUUGAAAGUGUUAUUGGUCAGAAUUUUGGUCGUGUUGUCAUGGGAUGAUCGCUUUAUAAAAUGAUCUUCUUCACUUCUUCUCUUACAUAUGAUGUUCUUUAAUAUUAAGUCAAUCUGCUUGUAUCUCUUGCUUUGAUCUCAAUGUGUUUGUUCCCUUUUUUUAUUUCAUGGUUAUUUUGGCACGUUCUACUGGCUUAAGUCUGUUGAAGUUCCCCUUGAAUAAAUAUUAGCUCUAUGAGGCUCAAUAUAAGUUGGACUGUACCUAUUGGUUUUGUUUGAAUGCUAUUCAUGUUAGUUGUGCAAUCCUGUCUGUAGUAGAUGCAAAGUAUUUCGGCAGUUGAAACUUCUUGAGCUAGAUUGUUUUGAGCUAUGAGGGACACUGUGCUAUCAGUAUUUCACUGAUUCUGCGUAGCUAGGUCCUGCCAGUUCUUCGUCACCUGUUUGGUCCAAUUCUUGCUUGUUUUGUUGGUGUUCGAAGUGUGUUUGCAGUUUAAGUGUCACUAUAGGAAAUUUACUGUUAUGAAUUCUGCAUUUCAAUACUGUUUCAAAGGAAUUACGAACCAUUAUUGUGCUUCCUCUGAGUUUGUCACGAGUCUGGUAGCUCCCUUGCUGGUGUAAGCUCAAAACAAGUUUUAAGAACCUUGUGUGUUAUUCUGUGUCAUCUACUAGAGUUAGUUGUUGGUUUAACUAGAUUAAAACUAGUCGAAGUUCGUGAUGGUUUCAGCUUGACUGAAUCAUUUGUUCAGUUGAAUUCAUCUUCCAUGAUUGGAACUUGUCCCACGUGAAUGGGACUGAUGGCAUCUGUUAACUUGGUUGCAAAUUAAGAAAUGAAACUGAUGUCCAUGUUUGGCAGCUUGAAGAUCUCUCAUUCUACAUCUGGCUUAGCAAUUUGUUUUCCUAUUUGGCUCAACUCUAGGCUAGUUCAUAUUCUUAAGAUUGAGUUAAUACGUUGCUACGUUAAUCAAUUUCAACCUGGGUUUGCAACAUGAACUAUUUUGAUUUAAACACUAGUUGGUUUGGCUUUUGGUUGCUGUGAUUCUGAGAUAAACUCAAUACGUUGGUGAACAGGUGUAAACAUCAC